Molecule: long non-coding RNA, 540 nt
Organism: Medicago truncatula (barrel medic)
Lineage: Eukaryota; Viridiplantae; Streptophyta; Magnoliopsida; Fabales; Fabaceae
Exons: 3
Source: RefSeq, a predicted model, not a curated record
UGUCACUAAGUUCGUUUAUAUUGCGAUCUACUUUCUUUCACUAUUUUUCAUUGCAAAGAACGAUGCCACCGCAACUUUUUGUCAUGACGACUCUCAUUGUGUAACAAAAAUUAAGUGUGUGCUUCCUCGGACACCGCAAUGAUUGGACUACUACCUACACCAUGGAUGCAAGCCACCUAUAAGAUAGUUGAUUUUGGGAUCUCUAAGAUGUUUAAGAAUACUGAUAAUGGAAAUGCAGAAUCCGCAAUGGUUCUUAUUGAUCCAGCGUUAGUCCUCAUCCAAAUGAUUAUUUUACAUUUUAUUAUGUCAGUAUUGCAAUCACAACCAAAAAUUGCUCACUUAACAAUAAAUGUGAUAAUUAGAGAAUGUAUUUGAAUUAAGAACUUAUUGAAUUAUUCAUAACUUGUUCUGAAAAUAUUAUUACUCAUAAUAACAUAGGGUCCUGCUAACCGGUACCUCCGGGGCACGGGUUAAGCAUACCAUAAAAGGAAACUGUUUCUGACUUUAUUAUCAAUUAAUUACACAAUUUCAAUGCAUUAA